GUGGUUAUAGUUCAAUGGUAGAACAACUGUAUGUGGAACAGUCCGUUCCCUGUUCGAGUCAGGGUAUCCACC
RNAcentral lists this transfer RNA (72 nucleotides) under Heterodermia casarettiana. RNAcentral's name for it is "tRNA-His". It matches the Rfam family "tRNA". From Rfam's summary of the family: Transfer RNA (tRNA) molecules are approximately 80 nucleotides in length. The record is from RNAcentral. Lineage: Eukaryota; Fungi; Ascomycota; Lecanoromycetes; Caliciales; Physciaceae.